UAGGCAAGAAGCCCGCGGAACACUGAGUGCAAGUGCGUUUGAGGGAGCAGGCACGUACUCAUGAGUGCCUGGAGGUCGCCGCGACGGCGCAGCCUGGAACUGCCAGGCGCGCUGGGCGAAGCUGCAGGUUGUAGUCCGCACCCUAAACGGCUGGCUGCGGUUGGGGCUCGCAGCUUUCCAGCCAAACCUAUGCAAAGCUACAACCCACGCUUUGCAUUUAUUUUAAAGAUACCUGGAGUUUC
RNAcentral lists this long non-coding RNA (242 nucleotides) under Nannospalax galili (Upper Galilee mountains blind mole rat). RNAcentral describes it as "WT1 antisense RNA conserved region 3 (ENSNGAG00000004294.1)". It matches the Rfam family "WT1 antisense RNA conserved region 3". Lineage: Eukaryota; Metazoa; Chordata; Mammalia; Rodentia; Spalacidae. The record is from RNAcentral.